UGUUGCCUCUGGUUAUCUGGCGAGCGAGGUCGAGGCUGGCCGCGAUGCAGACGACGCCGGGCGCGGAGGCGGCUAUCUCCGGCCAGAUCCGGUCGAGGAGGCGCGGCAGGGGCCGGAUCCUGUUCCGGCGACGGCGGGAUGCGAUCUACGAGGCGCAUGAGGAGGUCCAAUGGUGGGGCUUCAAUUCCAAGUUCAUCGCGGCGGCGUUCCUCACCGGUACUGAGCGAGAUGGCUAGCUCCGGCGAAGUCUCUCCAUCGAUACGGUGGCUCUGUACCUGUGAGAGACACAUAGGUGAGGGGAGAGGCAGGGAGGAGAGGGUGAGGAGCGGCGGGGAAGUCUUGGUGGUGCCCGCCUCCUACAGCAGCCCUCGUGAGUGCGGCCAAAGAGAGAGAGAUGAGAGAGAGCCAGGAGGAAGAAGGAAAGGAAGGAGACUUCAGGAAGGGGCGGCGGGAUCCUGCGGUGCUGGGUUCGAGCUCCGUUGGUGGUGCUACUGCUGCUGUUGGACAAUGGCCGAUGGGACUUGGUAAGAGGAAAACAUGUGCUGUGUUGGCACGUUUGAUGCAAAGCAGCCACCGUAAGUCCUUCUCCCUUCUCUGAUUAAUAUUGGGAUUCCAUUGCUAUUUGAUGGAGAGCAGCCACCAAAAAUUCCUCUCUUGAUGCAACGCUCCCUCCCUCCCUCCCUCCCUCUCGAAUCUGAUUCAUCACAAGAAUAUCAACAGACAACAUCCUACCUCCAGAAUGUUUGGGGCCCCUAGGUAUUUGACUGAAUAGCACGGGCUCGCGUGUGUAUGUCACCAUGACAAUACUACACUUCAAGAUUUCAUAAGUUUAAUUAUCUUUUGUGCAGAUAAGGAUGGCAGUAGAAGAGCUUGACGACAAUGAAUGACAACCAUAUGGAUAUUUUUUUAGUAGCCAAUGAAUAUAGGCCAGUGAGCCAUGGAUUUUGGUUUGCUCUUUUUCUCCUUUAUGUGAUGAGGCAAGGAACAUGCUAAAGGGGAUAUUGUCAAUGCUGCAUAAUUAUGUUGUAUGAUGUUUACAUAUUUUCGGACCUCAUCUCAGUAAAAUUCUGUAUUUAUUUUGUGGCCUAAUGGUGUUUAGUUCAUUUAACUUUUUCUGUUCAUAUACACGAAUAGCAGGAUUUCAGGCCAGUAGACUGUUAUACCAGCAGUUUCAUUUAACUUUUAUUCAUUAACAGUGAGAGUAAGAUAUCCUGACAAUUUGUCCGCUGGAAAAUCUUACGUACUAUUUGUUUCAUGUAGGUUCUGGAAUUGCUUGAGGCUGUACAGUUUAGAUGUCCAGACACUUCAAUGAAAUACUCUCAGUUGCUUUCAAAUCUGAGAGUUGGAUGGAAGCUUGAAGAGAUCCUAUAGAAUUCUGCAACAUCUGAAUUUGGUGGUGUAUAUUUUUUUCGGAGAGAGGUGAUCGACUGAUUGAUCUGGAUGCGUUCCAUCAAAAUCUUAUCCAAGUUGCGUGGUCAGCCCUGUUCAUAUUGGGUUUUGAGAUUAUUAUGUUCUUCAGAUUGCUUAUUUUGAAGUUCAGAUGUCACAAAAACUGCACAUGAUUGAGCGAGUCUAAGAAAGAAGAGCUAAAAGAAUCGUUCCAUCAUAUGCUGAAAUGGGCCCGGAGAUAUAACAAAAAUCUUGAAAUAGGAAGCCCAGCUUCACAUGUUAACUAGCUGGUCUGAAAUUCUUCAAAUGAGUUGUGUGUGUGCAUGACCACUUAAUCUUUUCAGUUGGAAAUUGGAUAUAGUAACCCGCUUGUUGUUAAUUUCAGCUAGCUGUAUCAAGAAGGAUGUCAUUGCUUGAGGAUUGUUCACAGUUAUUGUUUGAAGUCGACGACAAGUGCUAUCAUCAUGAUGCCAGACAAGUCGUUGUGCCAAUCCAAUGAGUUUCCAACAACGGAAAGUCAUCCGAAGAAUCAUGUCCCGGUGAGUAGUCCAGCUCCAGCAACAAGACCACAUCUGGUUUUCACCAAGAAGCUGGACCAGAGGCAUUGUACUCAGGACAAGUGUACUGAGGAAUAAGUAUGCAGAGAAGCUUUGAUUCAUCAUCAUCUACAUAUACUUAGAAUAUAACUCACAAGAAAAGCAAAAGCAAAAUGAUUGAAAAUCUAUUCUAUGCAAAACAACUCUUCCAUCAGAUGAAGAAUGGCAUGUUGGCUUCUUCGCGUCCGAACUUGAAGGGGUUAUGUAUUGCUAUACAGUGAACGGAACUACCAGUUUGCAUUAAGAUGGACUCAUUUUCAGCGGUGAAUAUUCUGAAUGGGAGGGACAUGGACAGGUCUGUGUAUGCUUCUUUGGUGGCGGAGAUCAAGCAUUUGAAGUCUCUUCGUAUGGCCCGUAUUACUUAUAUCAGCUGUUCUCAAAAUGUAGUUAGUGAUAUUUUAGCAAGUUUUGCAAAAACUGAAAGGAGAACUAUAGUCUGGCUCGGCUCCGCCCCCUCGAGGUCGUUGAUUUGUGUAAGGACGAGUGUAAGGUUGCUGCUUGAGUAAUACAAGUUUAUACUUUUUUUGCA
This is a long non-coding RNA of Triticum dicoccoides, 2514 nucleotides long. RefSeq lists it as uncharacterized. The transcript has 5 exons. NCBI's taxonomy places the organism in Eukaryota, Viridiplantae, Streptophyta, Magnoliopsida, Poales, Poaceae. The record is from RefSeq and is a predicted model, not a curated record.